Xiphophorus couchianus (Monterrey platyfish) is the source of this 840-nucleotide long non-coding RNA. RefSeq lists it as uncharacterized. NCBI's taxonomy places the organism in Eukaryota, Metazoa, Chordata, Actinopteri, Cyprinodontiformes, Poeciliidae. The transcript is spliced from 5 exons. The record is from RefSeq and is a predicted model, not a curated record.
UGAUUCUCUGAUCAUCCCAGGUUGGAUCUCCUCCGCCUGUAAUCCUCCACCUUCAGCACCACCAGUCAGGGGAAGGAAGAUAAGAGAACCCAGUUGACAAAAAAAGUAAGAAACUUAUUUUCAUUUUAAAUAUGGAAGAAAUUGAGGUCAAAUUUCAAAAUUGUUCUUCCUUCUGUCCACAUAUAUUCUAUUUGUUAACCCUGUUGUCUUUUCUCUGGAUUUCAUUUCUACAUCAACUCAUGUCACAUGACAUGAGUUGACCAACAAUUAAAGCAGAAGACCAGCUCCGCCUGUAAUCCUCCCUUCAACACCACCAGUCAGGUGGAGGAAGAUAAGAGAACCCAGUUGACUAAAAAAAUUGACCAACAAUUAAAGCAGAAGACCUGCUCCACCUGCUGAUCUACUGGUUGUAACAGCUUGUGGGAAAGCAUCACUGGACCAAUCAGGCGAGAGAAGACAGAGAGGACUGAGGACUGAAACGAAAAUACUCUGCCUGCCAAAAAAGGUAGACGAUCCAGUGGCCCCAGGUUUACACACCAUCUGUUGGUUUGAGGCAGACCAACCGCUGGGGAGAUGGACCUCACCUGGCACCAUUACUCUGGAUGUAACAGCUCAACUCUGCUGUCAAAACAUCAAUGACUCGAGAAGCGGACAGCGAGAUUUCUGGUGCCUGGCUGGAGACGAGAUUCUGAUUAUUCAAGAGCCAAAACAAAAUGUCAGAAUAAAUAGUUAGAAGGCAGAUUUGUUUUCUGUUUGUUAUUGUUUUCAUUAUUAAUGCUCCAUAACACAAAAUUCAUCACUGCUGUAACUCUUGAGUUGAAUAAAAUGUUCUUCUUUCAA